Molecule: transfer RNA, 84 nt
Organism: Trametes pubescens
Lineage: Eukaryota; Fungi; Basidiomycota; Agaricomycetes; Polyporales; Polyporaceae
Rfam family: tRNA
About the family: Transfer RNA (tRNA) molecules are approximately 80 nucleotides in length. Their secondary structure includes four short double-helical elements and three loops (D, anti-codon, and T loops).
Source: Rfam
UGCCCCAUGGCUGAGUUGGUUACAGCGUCCGACUGUUACUUUAACGCCAUCGGAAGGUCGUGAGUUCGAGCCUCACUGGGGCAG